GAAUCUUAAGACAAGUUCGAACUAGACCCCCUGAAUUAUUAAGCUCGUGAUAGUUCUUUGAAAUUUUUUUCAAGUAGACGGCUACAAUUACAACAAAACCAGCAGAACAACUAAUCCUAGAGAGAUAACAGCUAUUUCUACUUAUCUCAAUCCUGGAGUGACAGAGGCGGCGACGGCGGUGGAGUGCGGCGAGCCGAACUGGAACGACGGCGGCUGGAGUUGCACGAACUGGAGUGUGCUGCACUGCCGCUGCUGCUGGCGGGCGAGCGAGCGCGGCGUGACUCCAGCGGCGGGCGAUGGAGGGAGAGAAGCAGGGAGCGAGGCAGAGAGGCCGAGCGAAGCAGGGAUCGAGCGGCGAGCGUGACUCCAGCGGCGGGCGGGCGAGCGAAUCGGAGAAGACGACCGGCGAUGGAGGUGAGGCACGCCGACUGAGGGAGAUGGGAGAUGGGAGUGAGUCUAGGGAUGGCAG
This 469-nucleotide long non-coding RNA is filed under the name Salvia miltiorrhiza (redroot sage). RNAcentral's name for it is "long non-coding RNA (SMIL_LNC014113)". Lineage: Eukaryota; Viridiplantae; Streptophyta; Magnoliopsida; Lamiales; Lamiaceae. The record is from RNAcentral.